This 425-nucleotide ribosomal RNA is filed under the name uncultured bacterium. Its description in RNAcentral is "partial 16S ribosomal RNA". It matches the Rfam family "Bacterial small subunit ribosomal RNA", at positions 354 to 796 of the family's 1533-position model. The record is from RNAcentral.
GUGGGGAAUAUUGGACAAUGGGCGAAAGCCUGAUCCAGCAAUGCCGCGUGAGUGAUGAAGGCCUUAGGGUUGUAAAGCUCUUUUACCAGGGAUGAUAAUGACAGUACCUGGAGAAUAAGCUCCGGCUAACUCCGUGCCAGCAGCCGCGGUAAUACGGAGGGAGCUAGCGUCGUUCGGAAUUACUGGGCGUAAAGCGCACGUAGGCGGUUACUCAAGUCAGAGGUGAAAGCCCGGCGCUCAACCCAGGAACUGCCUUUGAAACUAGGUAACUAGAAUAUUGGAGAGGUCAGUGGAAUUCCGAGUGUAGAGGUGUAAUUCGUAGAUAUUCGGAAGAACACCAGUGGCGAAGGCGACUGACUGGACAAGUAUUGACGCUGAGGUGCGAAAGCGUGGGGAGCAAAUGGGAUUAGAAACCCCAGUAGUCC